RNAcentral lists this small RNA (132 nucleotides) under Escherichia coli. Its description in RNAcentral is "RtT sRNA". It matches the Rfam family "RtT RNA". Rfam says of the family: This family represents a bacterial cis-regulatory element known as RtT RNA. Lineage: Bacteria; Pseudomonadati; Pseudomonadota; Gammaproteobacteria; Enterobacterales; Enterobacteriaceae. The record is from RNAcentral.
GUUUGCACUCAUCGGGGAAGGGUGAGAACCUUCGACUAAGGUUCGAUUCGAGCGAAAGCGAGAGAACGUUGCCACAGGCAACGGCCCGAAGGGUGAGGAGCGAAGCGAAGAAUAAUCCUUCCCCCACCACCA